Molecule: ribosomal RNA, 497 nt
Filed under: uncultured bacterium
Lineage: Bacteria
Description: partial 16S ribosomal RNA
Rfam family: Bacterial small subunit ribosomal RNA
Source: RNAcentral
GUUGAACGCUGGCGGCAUGCCUAACACAUGCCAGUCGAGCGAUCACAUGAGGAGCCUUCCUCUUUUGCUUACGCGGCGCGGGGGUGUGUAAAAUGUCGGUGACCCUGCUUGAUGCAUGGGAUUAACUAGUGAAACCGGUACUUAAUACGGCUUACCUUCACAACCCCAUGGUUCUAAAGUGACGGGCGUCUUGCCAUCGACUGAGCCAAGAACCCGCUACGUAUUAGCUAGUUGGUAAGGUAACGGCUUACCAAGGCGACGAUACGUAGCUGACCUGAGAGGAUGACCGGCCAAACUGGAACUGAGACACGGUCCAGACUCCUACGGGAGGCAGCAGUGGGGAAUAUUGCGCAAUGGGCGAAAGCCUGAUGGAGCAACGCCGCGUGUAUGAAGAAGGUCUUCGGGUUGUAAAACUCUGUUAUUAGGGAAGAAGAAAUGUGUGAGUAACUGUGCACGUCUUGACGGUACCUAAUCAGAAAGCCACGGCUAACUACGUG